This 385-nucleotide ribosomal RNA is filed under the name uncultured eukaryote. Its description in RNAcentral is "partial 18S ribosomal RNA". It matches the Rfam family "Eukaryotic small subunit ribosomal RNA", at positions 592 to 976 of the family's 1831-position model. The record is from RNAcentral.
CAAUAGCGUAUAUUAAAGUUGUUGCAGUUAAAAAGCUCGUAGUUGGAUUUCUGAUCGAGACAUCAGGUCGGGUCCGAGAGGAUCAUGUACUUUGAUUUGUUUUGAUCAUCCUUGGGGAGAGCAUUUCUGGCAUUCAGUUGUCGGGAUUGGGAUCCUCAUCGUUUACUGUGAAAAAAUUAGAGUGUUCAAAGCAGGCUUAUGCCGUUGAAUAUAUUAGCAUGGAAUAAUAAGAUAGGACUUUGGUACUAUUUUGUUGGUUUGCGCACCAAAGUAAUGAUUAAUAGGGACAGUUGGGGGUAUUCGUAUUCCGUUGUCAGAGGUGAAAUUCUUGGAUUUACGGAAGACGAACUACUGCGAAAGCAUUUACCAAGGAUGUUUUCAUUAA